CAAAGGUUUGGUCCUGGCCUUCCUAUUAGUUAUUAACAGAAUUACACAUGCAAGCCUCCACAUCCCGGUGAAGGUGCCCUCUAAAUCUAUUUAAACGAUUAAAAGGAGCGGGCAUCAGGCACACUAAAUAAGUAGCCCAUAACGCCUUGCUCAACCACACCCCCACGGGAUACAGCAGUGAUAAAAAUUAAGCCAUGAACGAAAGUUUGACUAAGCCAUGUUAAUAUUAAGAGUUGGUAAAUUUCGUGCCAGCCACCGCGGUCAUACGAUUAACCCAAAUUAAUAGGCUCACGGCGUAAAACGUGCUAAGGACUACAAAACACUAAAGUUAAAAUUUAACCAGGCCGUAAAAAGCUACUGUUAAUAUAAAAUAUACCACGAAAGUGACUUUAUCAUCCCCAACAACACGAUAGCUGGGACCCAAACUGGGAUUAGAUACCCCACUAUGCCCAGCCCUAAACACAAACAAUUUACACAACAAAAU
This 484-nucleotide ribosomal RNA is filed under the name Martes martes (European pine marten). Its description in RNAcentral is "partial 12S ribosomal RNA". Lineage: Eukaryota; Metazoa; Chordata; Mammalia; Carnivora; Mustelidae. The record is from RNAcentral.